GUAGGUGGCAAGCGUUGUCCGGAAUUAUUGGGCGUAAAGCGCGCGCAGGCGGUCCUUUAAGUCUGAUGUGAAAGCCCACGGCUCAACCGUGGAGGGUCAUUGGAAACUGGGGGACUUGAGUACAGAAGAGGAAAGCGGAAUUCCAAGUGUAGCGGUGAAAUGCGUAGAGAUUUGGAGGAACACCAGUGGCGAAGGCGGCUUUCUGGUCUGUAACUGACGCUGAGGCGCGAAAGCGUGGGGAGCAAACAGGGUUUAGAUACCCUGGUAGUCCACGCCGUAAACGAUGAGUGCUAAGUGUUAGGGGGUUUCCCGCCCCCUUAGUGCUGCAGCUAACGCAUUAAGCACUCCGCCUGGGGAGUACGGCCGCAAGACUG
This 374-nucleotide ribosomal RNA is filed under the name uncultured organism. RNAcentral's name for it is "partial 16S ribosomal RNA". It matches the Rfam family "Bacterial small subunit ribosomal RNA", at positions 527 to 896 of the family's 1533-position model. The record is from RNAcentral.